CGAGCACACAGCGAUCCUCGAAAGGAGGGAGGGGCAAAGUACUGCGCUUUGUUGGGAUGAAUGCAACUACAAGUCGAUGGCUCUCGCGAUUUAGGUAAUAAAUGAAACACUCAGGCUGGCAAAUACUGCUCUAGGGCAAAUGCGAAGAGCAGUACGAGAUAUCCUAGUGAACGGAUUUGUGAUCUCAAAAGGUUGGCCGAUCAUGCUAGUCACGACCGCUCUCCACAUGAAUCCCAAGGUGUUCGACAAUCCUCUUGAAUUUAACCCUUGGCGCCGGAAGGUGCGCGACUGGAACUCUUCGAUUAAUAUUCAUGGACUGACU
This is a long non-coding RNA of Syzygium oleosum, 322 nucleotides long. RefSeq lists it as uncharacterized. The transcript has 3 exons. The record is from RefSeq and is a predicted model, not a curated record. NCBI's taxonomy places the organism in Eukaryota, Viridiplantae, Streptophyta, Magnoliopsida, Myrtales, Myrtaceae.